This 288-nucleotide unclassified non-coding RNA is filed under the name Hevea brasiliensis (rubber tree). Lineage: Eukaryota; Viridiplantae; Streptophyta; Magnoliopsida; Malpighiales; Euphorbiaceae. The record is from RNAcentral.
CACACAGCCACAAGACUAUAACACAAAAAAAUGUUUCAAGUAUUUAAAAAUCAAAUAAUAAAGGAAGAAGUUGAGGGAAUUUAAGGCUUUAUCUGAUUGAUAUUUUGGGUUUUUAUGCUUUUGGUUCAAAACUAGUUUCUUUUAUCAAUUUUUUUGGUUUUGAAAUUCCUGUUUUCUCUCUGUUUGCCUCCAACACCCCUCCCCCUCCCCCUCCCCCUCUCCUUCUCUCUCUCCGUGCCAUAAUAAAGUUGCAUUUUCAGUUAUUUAUUCAUUUAUAUGGAAGUUUCG